AUUGAACGCUGGCGGCAUGCUUUACACAUGCAAGUCGAACGGCAGCGCGGGGGCAACCCUGGCGGCGAGUGGCGAACGGGUGAGUAAUGCAUCGGAACGUAUCCUGUAAUGGGGGAUAACGUAGCGAAAGUUACGCUAAUACCGCAUACGCUCGAGAGAGGAAAGUGGGGGAUCGCAAGACCUCACGUUAUAGGAGCGGCCGAUGUCCGAUUAGCUAGUUGGUGGGGUAAAGGCCUACCUAGGCGACGAUCGGUAGCUGGUCUGAGAGGAUGAUCAGCCACACUGGGACUGAGACACGGCCCAGACUCCUACGGGAGGCAGCAGUGGAGAAUUUUGGACAAUGGGCGAAAGCCUGAUCCAGCCAUGCCGCGUGCGGGAAGAAGGCCUUCGGGUUGUAAACCGCUUUAGUCCGGGAAAAAGGGGUGCGAGGAUAAUACCCUUGUGCUUUGAUGGUACUGGAAGAAUAAGCACCGGCUAUCUACGUGCCAGCAGCCGCGGUAAUACGUAGGGUGCGAGCGUUAAUCGGAAUUACUGGGCGUAAAGCGUGCGCAGGCGGUCUUGUAAGACAGUCGUGAAAGCCCCGGGCUUAACCUGGGAACUGCGAUUGUGACUGCAAGGCUAGAGUGUGUCAGAGGGGGGUGGAAUUCCACGUGUAGCAGUGAAAUGCGUAGAGAUGUGGAGGAACACCGAUGGCGAAGGCAGCCCCCUGGGAUAACACUGACGCUCAUGCACGAAAGCGUGGGGAGC
Molecule: ribosomal RNA, 747 nt
Filed under: uncultured Azonexus sp.
Lineage: Bacteria; Pseudomonadati; Pseudomonadota; Betaproteobacteria; Rhodocyclales; Azonexaceae
Description: bacterial SSU rRNA
Rfam family: Bacterial small subunit ribosomal RNA
Source: RNAcentral